RNAcentral lists this ribosomal RNA (403 nucleotides) under uncultured marine bacterium. Its description in RNAcentral is "bacterial SSU rRNA". It matches the Rfam family "Bacterial small subunit ribosomal RNA", at positions 360 to 758 of the family's 1533-position model. The record is from RNAcentral.
AAUACUGGAUCAUGGGCGCAAGCCCGAUCCAGCAAUUCCGCAUGUGUGAAGAAGGCCUGCGGGUUGUAAAGCACUUUCAGUAGAGAAGAAAAGCUUAGGGUUAAUACCCCUGAGUAAGGACGUUACCUACAGAAGAAGCUCCGGCUAACUCCGUGUCAGCAGCCGCAGUAAUACGGAGGGAGCGAGCGUUAAUCGGAAUUACUGGGCGUAAAGCGCGCGUAGGCGGCUUUGUAAGUUGGAUGCGAAAGCACAGGGCUUAACUCAGGAAUGGCAUUUGAUAUUGAGAAGCAGAGUAAGGUAGAGGGAAGCAGAAUUUCCGUUGUAGGGGUGAAAGGAGUGGAUAUAGAAAGGAACACCAGUGGCGAAGGAAACCUCUUGGGCCAUCUGACACGGGCAGGUGGAA